AGAAUCAACGCUGGCGGCGUGCCUAACACAUGCAAGUCGCACGAGAAAGUGGAGCAAUCCACGAGUAAAGUGGCGCACGGGUGAGUAACACGUGAAUAAUCUACCUCCGAGUGGGGAAUAACUGAGAGAAAUCUUAGCUAAUACCGCAUAAUACCCACGGGUCAAAGCAGCAAUGCGCUUGGAGAGGAGUUCGCGGCCGAUUAGCUAGUUGGCGGGGUAAUGGCCCACCAAGGCGAUGAUCGGUAUCCGGCCUGAGAGGGCGCACGGACACACUGGAACUGAAACACGGUCCAGACUCCUACGGGAGGCAGCAGUGGGGAAUUUUGCGCAAUGGGGGAAACCCUGACGCAGCAACGCCGCGUGGAGGAUGAAAUCCCUUGGGAUGUAAACUCCUUUCGAUAGGGAAGAUAAUGACGGUACCUAUAGAAGAAGCCCCGGCUAACUUCGCGCCAGCAGCCGC
RNAcentral lists this ribosomal RNA (460 nucleotides) under uncultured bacterium. RNAcentral describes it as "SSU rRNA". It matches the Rfam family "Bacterial small subunit ribosomal RNA", at positions 26 to 518 of the family's 1533-position model. The record is from RNAcentral.